RNAcentral lists this ribosomal RNA (253 nucleotides) under uncultured bacterium. RNAcentral describes it as "partial 16S ribosomal RNA". It matches the Rfam family "Bacterial small subunit ribosomal RNA", at positions 524 to 776 of the family's 1533-position model. The record is from RNAcentral.
UACGUAGGUGGCAAGCGAUACUCGGAAUCACUAGGCGUAAAGCGCAGGUAGGCGGUUUGGUAAGUCUUUUGUGAAAGCUCCCGGCUCAACUGGGAGAGGUCAAGGGAAACUACCGGACUAGAGUGUGGUAGGGGAUACUGGAAUUCCUGGUGUAGCGGUGAAAUGCGCAGAUAUCAGGAGGAACACCGGUGGCGAAGGCGGUUCUCUGGGCCUUACCUGACGCUGAGGAGCGAAAGCAUGGGGAGCAAACAGG